UACAGAGACUGCAAGCGUUAUUCGGAUUCACUGGGCGUAAAGGGUGCGCAGGCGGCCGUGUGUGUCAGGUGUGAAAGCCCGAGGCUUAACCUCGGAAUUGCGCCUGAAACUACAUGGCUAGAGUACUGGAGAGGGUAGCGGAAUUCAUGGUGUAGCAGUGAAAUGCGCAGAUAUCAGGAAGAACACCCGUGGCGAAGGCGGCUCUCUGGGACGGUACUGACGCUGAGACGCGAAAGCGUGGGGAGCGAACAGG
This 253-nucleotide ribosomal RNA is filed under the name uncultured bacterium. Its description in RNAcentral is "partial 16S ribosomal RNA". It matches the Rfam family "Bacterial small subunit ribosomal RNA", at positions 524 to 776 of the family's 1533-position model. The record is from RNAcentral.